UUUCUCUAAAAAAGAAAGUGUAAAUUAGGUGCAAUGCUCAGCAUUUGCUUACCUUACCUUUUAUUAAUAUGACCAUUAUUGAUCAAAUUAUAGUUUUAACUAAAGAGUCAGUUCUUAAAACUUACAUCACCUUAUGUUUCAGUUUUGGGAAAUGUGUAUUGUCUAGUACAGAAUGUUUUAAUGAUUAUUUAAGAAAAUUGAUUCCUGAGAGAUUUGACAUUUUUGAUAUAUUAUUUGAUUUUCAUUGCUUCUUAAGCCACAGCAAUAGCAGAUCCAGGCUGCAUCUGUGACAUACAUCACAGCUCACGGCAACGCUGGGUCCUUAACCCACUGAGUGAAGUCAGGGAUUGAACCCGAACCCUCAUGGAUGCUAGUCAGAUUUGUUUCCACUGACCUACGACAGGAACUCCUACUUUUUAUUUUAAAUGAUCUUUUAGGUAUAAUAUAUAUUUCCUCAUACUCACAUUUAAAUGAAUCACCCAGUUACUGGACCAAAGUGCCCUCAUCUACUCUGGUUAUGGACCCCCAACAUCCUUAGAAUGUGCUUUUGUUUUAGAGAAUUGGGGAAUCAAAGGGUACCUCUGCUAAUUUCAGCUCUGAUGGGAGGUUGCCUUGUUUACCAAAAAUUCUUGCUGUUUCAUAGCCUUUUCACCCAAGUUCAAAUUCAGGCAAUAAUUGUUGAGCAUCAUUCAUUUGAACACUCUUAGGGGUUUAAGUUGGCUUCGAGUUACAGUUACUGACUGUUGUGAAGGAACUUUAAUCUUAUUGCCAGGCUUGAUGAACAUUGUUAAGAAAUAUUACGGAGUGUUGGGGGAAAGGGGGUAAGGUAUAAGUCACUUCCACGUGGACAGAGCUCAGAAUAUGCUAACUUUGGUUAAUAUUUUGAAACAUUCCUUUUCUAAUCCCCUGAAUGUUGACUUGAAAACCGUUGGCUUGAAAGAUAGUUCUUUUAAGAGAAAGUGUGGACGUUAUAAAACUUAAAAAAAAAAUUGAGUACUCAUUCAUGACCAUUAGGAUUUUUUUUAACCCAUGAUAUAAGCAAGAAGGAUGAAAAUGUUUACUUCCAGAUCUGUUUCUUUUGUUUCACUGUUCGUUCUCCUGGGUCUCUUCAAGGUUCAUUCUCCCCUAUACAUUCUCACAGUGUUGAUUUCAAAAACCAGAGAGAAGAAAAGGUAGGGGCAGAUUUAAGGGGAUAUGGGAAGAAAGAAAUAGGCAGGGGUCAGAUUUAAGGGAAUAUGGGAGUAGAGGGGCUGGUUGGGAAGGAAAGCUGGAUAAGCCAGGCCAAGAGUAUUAAUCCAAUGUUUACACAGUAAGGAGAGUGAUUUCUUUAUGAGGUUAGUAAAUUUUCUAUGAUGUUUAUUUCUGAAAAGAAAGUUCUGAAAUUCUAAGUGGCAGCAUAGGUUAAGUAAGUAUUAAAUUUUUCAAGGAGACAGUUUGGAAGAAAGCAUAGUUUUGGUUUAAGUGUUGACAUGCUUAUUUAGAAAAGAAUUAGUCUUGCUGCAGAUCAUAUUAAAUGGUUUAAAAUAGCUGAUGAGUGGAACAGCUGUUGGUUGCAAUUCAUGAUUCCAUAAUGAAAUAUAGAACUCUUGGUCCAAUUUUUAGGAUCAAGCUGAGUUUUCUUUCUAUGCCUUAGAUUCUAGCCACCAUUUAAGUCAAACACUUUGGGACUUAUUGAAGUCUCAGAAGUAACAAUGUAGAAGGAUCAGAGGGUGAUUAUUUUAGUAAAAACAAAAGGUUUAUGCAUUUAAAGUCAGUAUUGUACAUGCUAUAAUAUCUGAAACAAAAUGGAAGCUUAUAGUGUUCAUUAGAUGGCAACUCAAAAAAAACCCCAGACUUUACUGCUUCUGAGAUAGUAAUUAUACAGUAGUCUGGCUUGAAGGAAAAUGAAAAGGAAAAUAAACUAGCCAAAUAGUCUCAGGUCAGAUUCAUUUACCUUUAAGAUUUUCUUUCCAUAGAUAGGUCAUGGAAACAGACUGGUAGGGACACUACUUGUAGCUAUAUUUUCAGAACGUUGUGGUUAUAUUAUUAUGUGAAUUAUGUAAUCCUUCUUUGAAGAUACUUUCCUUUUACCCAGGUAAUAAUAGGCUCAAGUGUCUUUAUCAUUAAGUGUUUCCAAAGGAUACUGAAAACAUUUGUUGCAAAGCAAAUCAGACUUUGAGCUUGGCCAGCUAUGUAUGUAGAGCUAUGGUGUAAAUAAUCGGUUGAAAUAAACUCAAAAAAUUAAGCUUAAAUUUUUUUUUAAAGGUAUGGUUUUGGCUGGAGCCCUCAGUAAAAUGGAAAGGUCAGAAUGAAAUUGUCAGAAUGUAUAAUACAUACCCAAAUAACAAGUUCAAAUAACAUUAGGAAACUUUCGUAUUCAUAGAAUGUCUUAUGUCUUUAAGAGUUUCACUAUGGAUUUUGUUGUUUGUAAUACUUCAUCCUUUGAUUCUCUUAAAUCCUAUCUUGUAAUAUUUUUAAAUUGCUAAAAAAUUAAUGGGAAUUUAAAAAAAAAAUCACUUUAUAGACAGUUUCCAGAAAGAGAUUUUAUUUCCGAAAGCAAGGUAUAUAUAAUCAAAACUGGGAAAUACCUCAGUUUCAUACUUUUCAAAUUUAUGGUACUGUGUAUUAUUUCACACAUAUUCUUAACAAGUGUUUACCUCAAACUGUUCCUUUUUUAAGUAGUCAAGUAUUUUAAAUCCUCAAGUAUUCAUAGACUACUUACUGUCCAGUGUUCUAAACAUAAUCACCUUUACAAUAGUAAAUAAAUCAUUCAGUUAUUGAAAGAAUAGUUGCUUUUACUGCCAAGCUUAUCAUGUGUUUUUUCCCUACCUGUUAUUGUUUGUUUGUUUUGGUCUUUUUAGGGCCACACCCAAGGCUUAUGGAAGUUCCUAGGCUAGGGGUCUAAUCGGAGCUGCAUCUGCUGUCCUGUGCCAUAGCCACAGCAAUGCCAGAUCCGAGCUGUGUCUGAGGCUUAUACCACAGCUCAAGGCAAUGCCGGAUCCUUUAAACCCACUGAGUCAGGCCAGGGAUCAGCACAUUCUCAUGGAUCCUAGUUGGGUUCUUAACCUACUGAGCUGCAAUGGGAACUUCCCUACCCAUGUUUUUAAAGUGAUCAUUUAUUGAAAUUGCUUAAGUGCAUUUUUUUUUUUUUGGUCUUUUUACCAUUUCUUGGGCUGCUCCCAUGGCAUAUGGAGGUUCCCAGUCUAGGGGUUGAAUUGGAGCUGUAGCCACCGGCCUACACCACAGCCACAGCAACUCGGGUUCCGAGCCACAUCUGCAACCUAUACCACAGCUCAUGGCAACACCAGAUCCGUAACCCACUGAGCAAGGCCAGGGAUCGAACCUAGUCAGAUUCGUUAACCACUGAGCCAUGACGGGAACUCCUUAAGUGCAUUUAUAAUACCAGUUAUAUUUAUUUUACUUCUUCAAUAAUUAUUUUGUUAUGUCUCCUAUUUGUGCCUUUCUACAAGAAAAGGAAUCUUUUCACAUUACUUUUUUUUUUUUUUAAAGUUUUUCAUGGUCGUGUGAGAAUUGCAAAGCAUGGAAACAUCUAAACUUCAGGGUUGCAUUAUUUUAUUUAGAGUUUUGGCUUAACGUGUGAAGUCAGAGUUGUAAACAUUACUCGCAGUGUUUCUUAUGUGGUUACUGUGAGUUAGCUGGUGGACUAAUAAAAUUGUCUCAGUAGGGCAAAAAUUGUAACCAAACCUAAUACUGGGUUAUGAUGGCAGGCAGAUUAGAAUUUCUCAGAAUAGUAAUUCCCAGCCAUUUUCUGGUUUUCUUAUCAAGUUUCUUAUCAAGGUUUUCUUAGAAUGAAAAGCUGCAAAACUAUGUAAUAUUAAGUAUGUUUUAAGGUAGCAUGUUCUUUAAAAACGUAAAAAUUCCAAUCUCAGUAAACAGUUAGUCAAUAAAUAUUUAAUUGGGUAUCUUCUAUGUUUCUAGAUUUAUGUUGGGACCUUCAAAGGUAUUAAAUUAUGGUUUUUGCUCUUAAGGAAAUUUAUGGUUCCUUUUGAGAAGCCAAAUUUAUAGCUAUGAAAGAAUUUAAAUUUAGGAGUUUUAGAAUAACUGAUGUGAGGCUCAUGAAAAUGGUAGCAAUGAAAGGUAAGGAUUUGAAGCUGUUGCUUGUGUGGUUUUGACUUGAGCUUAAAUAUUAAAGGAAAUGAUGUAAGAUUAAAUUUCUUUUCUUUUCUCUUCUCUUUUCUUUUGUCUUUUUAGGGCUGCACCUGCAGUGUAUGGAAGUUCCCAGACUAGGGGUCAAGUGGGAGCUGUAGCGGCCGGCCUACGCCACGGCCACAGCACCACCAGAUCUGAGCCACAUCUGCGACUACACCAUAGCUCACUGCAAUGCUGGAUACUUGACCCGCUGAGCGAGGCCAGGGAUCAAACCGGUAACCUCAUGGUUCCUAAUUGGAUUCAUUUACCUGCUAUUGCCACGAUGGGAACUCUCUGUUCUGUUUAUUUUAGAUAACAGCAUAUUGAGUUAUUUCCCUAGGACUACUUCAUAAAUGUUAGGCUAGUCCUAGAAUUUUAGGUGUCUAAGAAAAUAAUCUUUGGUUAAAAUUAUUUUGUAAGAAUGUUUUAUAAAAAAGGAUAUCCAUCUCAAAGUAAUGUAAUGUUAUUUAAGUUUUUAUCUCUCACUUUUGUAUAUGUGUAUUCUUCUCUACCUUUGCUCAUGCUGUAUCCUCUGCUCAUCAUGCCUUUCUCUGACAGUUUGGGCUUAACACCCUCUCAGCCCCCACAUCUUACUCCACAUUCCUAUGCAACCAGAUCACUUGUCGUCUCAGUCUGCGAACAUGACUUCCAAUUUCAGUCAUCUUCUGUUUGCCUGUAAGAUUUUGUUUGCCUUGCCAAUCAUGUUUGGUUAUUCACUCAUGUGAUUCUCCUGUCAUAUUUGUGCUUUUCUUGAGGAUAGAUAUUAUUUAUGUUAUUUUGGCUGCCUGACAUAAAAUGCUGGGCACAUAGUGUAGUUGUUGGAUAAAUUAUUGAAUUAAUGGUUGCUUUUUGACAUUUGUAGGUUAAUUUAUGUGGUCAUCACUUUCAUAGAUUUAUCAAGGUUUAGAACUGUAAGUCUUUGUCUUUCCAUAUUUUCAGUAAGAAAUUUAGGGCUAAUGGUGAUUCAUUUAAAAAUGAGCUUAUGGAGUCCCCAUCUUGGUGUAUCGGAAAUGAAUCCAACUAGCAACUAUGAGGUUGCAGGUUCGAUUCCUGGCUUCAAUCAGUGGGUUAAGGAUCUGGUGUUGCUGUGAGCUGUGGUGUAGGUUGCAGAUACGGCUCGGAUCUGGCGGUGCUGUGGCUUUGGCGUAAGCUGGCAACUGUAGCUUAAAUUAGACCCCUAGCCUGGGAACCUCCAUAUGCUGCAGGUAUGGCCCUAAAAAGCAAAAAAAAAAAAAAAAAAAAAAA
This 5373-nucleotide long non-coding RNA is filed under the name Sus scrofa (pig). RNAcentral describes it as "lncRNA (ENSSSCG00050011614.1)". Lineage: Eukaryota; Metazoa; Chordata; Mammalia; Artiodactyla; Suidae. The record is from RNAcentral.